AAAGGAUUAUUUUAAAUUUAGAAUUUUUGACUCUUAAUCAAAAGGUUUGUUUCUUUA
RNAcentral lists this transfer RNA (57 nucleotides) under Litomosoides sigmodontis. RNAcentral describes it as "tRNA-Lys". Lineage: Eukaryota; Metazoa; Nematoda; Chromadorea; Rhabditida; Onchocercidae. The record is from RNAcentral.